This 31-nucleotide non-coding RNA is filed under the name Homo sapiens (human). Lineage: Eukaryota; Metazoa; Chordata; Mammalia; Primates; Hominidae. The record is from RNAcentral.
UGGGAUGGGUCUACAAACAUAUGUUAUGGUC